This 449-nucleotide ribosomal RNA is filed under the name uncultured bacterium. RNAcentral describes it as "partial 16S ribosomal RNA". It matches the Rfam family "Bacterial small subunit ribosomal RNA", at positions 29 to 523 of the family's 1533-position model. The record is from RNAcentral.
AACGAACGCUGGCGGCAUGCCUAACACAUGCAAGUCGAACGAGAUCUUCGGGUCUAGUGGCGCACGGGUGCGUAACGCGUGGGAAUCUGCCCUGUGGUUCGGAAUAACAGAUGGAAACGACUGCUAAUACCGGAUGAUGACGAAAGUCCAAAGAUUUAUCGCCAGAGGAUGAGCCCGCGUAGGAUUAGCUAGUUGGUGUGGUAAAGGCGAACCAAGGCGACGAUCCUUAGCUGGUCUGAGAGGAUGAUCAGCCACACUGGGACUGAGACACGGCCCAGACUCCUACGGGAGGCAGCAGUGGGGAAUAUUGGACAAUGGGCGCAAGCCUGAUCCAGCAAUGCCGCGUGAGUGAUGAAGGCCUUAGGGUUGUAAAGCUCUUUUACCCGGGAUGAUAAUGACAGUACCGGGAGAAUAAGCCCCGGCUAACUCCGUGCCAGCCGCCGCGGUAA